This 460-nucleotide ribosomal RNA is filed under the name uncultured bacterium. RNAcentral describes it as "partial 16S ribosomal RNA". It matches the Rfam family "Bacterial small subunit ribosomal RNA", at positions 338 to 795 of the family's 1533-position model. The record is from RNAcentral.
CCUACGGGAGGCAGCAGUAGGGAAUAUUGGUCAAUGGCCGGAAGGCUGAACCAGCCAUGCCGCGUGAAGGUCAGUGCCCUAUGGGCGUUAAACUUCUUUUGUGCGGGAGCAAUAAUGGUCACGUGUGGCCAGACGAGAGUACCGUACGAAUAAGCAUCGGCUAACUCCGUGCCAGCAGCCGCGGUAAUACGGUGGAUGCAAGCGUUAUCCGGAUUUAUGGGGUUUAAAGGGUGCGUAGGCUGUGCGGUAAGUCAGCGGUGAAAGGCCCCCGCUCAUAGGGGUGAAGUGCCAUUGAUACUGCCUUGCUGGAAUGCGGAUGCCGUGGGAGGGAUGUGUGGUGUAGCGGUGAAAUGCAUAGAUAUCACACAGAACACCGAUUGCGAAGGCAUCUCACGAAUCCGCGAUUGACGCUGAUGCACGAAAGCGUGGGUAUCAAACAGGAUUAGAUACCCGAGUAGUC